AUGAGUUUUAAUCAGUUUACUCUAUCGGAAUCAGCAAGCGCAAGUAUCAGGAAUGAUCUUCCAGGAAGUAAUGAUUCUCAAGGCAGUGGCUUCCGGCCAUAUUACCGCGUUGAAAGAAAAUGGGCUCUUGGGCUCCAGUCUCGAGCUCAACCUCGCGCGAAAUUGAUUGAGGUUCUAAAGGCACUUCAGAAAUUAAAUGUCCGUUGGAAGAAGAAUGUGCACUACAACAUGAAAUGCAGGUGGUGCCCUGGGUUUCCUCAAGUCAGUGAUAUGUUGUUAGAUGCCAGCCACAACUUUUUUGAUGACUCUACCAUCAUGAAUAAUGGUGAUGUUAAUAGGAGGCUGCCUGCUGUGAUCAAGUUUGAAAUUAAGCAUUACAAGACCAGGGAUGUCAAGUACCUGCUAGAUAUGCAGAGAGUUACUGGACCACAGCUCCUCUUCCUGGAAUUUUGUGCGGCCUUCCUUACCAACCUUACGGUUCUAUAG
This 486-nucleotide ribosomal RNA is filed under the name Triticum aestivum (bread wheat). RNAcentral describes it as "partial small subunit ribosomal RNA". The record is from RNAcentral. Lineage: Eukaryota; Viridiplantae; Streptophyta; Magnoliopsida; Poales; Poaceae.